CGUGCGUGCGUAUGUGCGUGCGUGCGUGUGUGCGUGUGUGCGUGUGUGUGUGUGUGUGUGUGUGUGUGCGCCAACAAACAGAAAACGUCACUUUCUGAUCUUUCUGUUCCACCUGUCCAAAUUUUAUUCUGCUUCAAAGCCACGUUUACUGGGACACACGGGGCCUCUGUGGCUUUGCUUCCCUGGAUUUCGAAUUCUUGCUUUGCUGAGUUAGGGAAGAUGGGACACUGAAAUGGACCCAGCACUUUUUGUGGGCAGUAAAAUAUAAUGAUGAAGAGACGUAUCCCUGAUGUAUAAUUUCCUGUGAGUAAAACUGUUAAGUAAAAUCUGUGCCCGGUGCCUCCAGGCACUGACUAGGCCUCUCACUUAAGGAUUCCGGGGCUGUGAUUCGGGAAACAAGAACUCUAGGAAUUCUGACGAAAGACGGCCAAGGGUUACAGAAUGCAGAAAAAAAAUCAUGCACUGACAGAUGCAGCAGGAAUCUGUCUUUUGGCCCAGCUUGCUGGGACGAUGUGACUGAGUCAAGCGGGGAAGCCUCCCUGGAUAUCAGCCGUGGGUGCCAGGGGGCACUGUGGUUCAAGUUAUGUGGGUCCUCGGGGUGCUCGGGCUGCAAACUGUGAUCCUCCCUGCAAGAAAAGGCCUUUAUUGAAGCAUCCACAGAAGAUCAGAUCCGCUUGAUCGAGAGAGAGCUGGGAGUUCUUCCUCUUCAAACGCCACCAGCACAGGGGACAGAGGUCCUUACAGAGUUGUCACUCCUGCUCUUUCCUCUCCCUUGCUUUGGGACAGGGACUCACAUCCAACUGCUAGUGACUGGGCCGGGCACACUUGGAGAAUCACAGAGUGCAGGGGUGAGAGGAGGACAGAGCGAAGGUGCGCUGCAGGGCGUGACAGGCCUGCAGGAGGAGCAUUCCAAGGGCUCUGGACUGAGCUCCCUGCUCCCUGCAGCUCCCCUCACCAACGCUGAAGAGGCAAAACCCCGCAAAUACAAACCCACUCAGCGGGUGGCUUGGCUUAGUUCCACUUCUGCUUGCUGUGGAUGGCAGGGAUGGUCACAGAGGACGCGAGUGUUGGUAGCGAAGGAAAAUAAAGCUCUGGAGUGUCCCCACCUGGGAAGCCUGUCUGUGUGUCCAGUUGUGUCCAUUGUGACCUGUCUGGGGCUCCACUGUGACUGGCUUAUGGUAGACACGAGGCCUCUUCCCCUGAGCAGGCUCCAAAAGAAACGGCCAUUUCUCCUGGAAUCCACGGGGAUUCCCCCGCUGAUCACUGAGCACUGAGCAGUCCAGCCUCUAGGAGGGGCUUCAUCUACAGACUCCCAGCUCUCGCCAGUGUGGUCUCGUCCAUGGCAUCUUGAUUCACUGCAGCCUCUGGAUGGGACUGCAAGGUCCUGGAAGGAUAGGGCCACAUUUGAUGCUUCCCUC
RNAcentral lists this long non-coding RNA (1418 nucleotides) under Fukomys damarensis (Damara mole-rat). RNAcentral's name for it is "lncRNA (ENSFDAG00000029865.1)". Lineage: Eukaryota; Metazoa; Chordata; Mammalia; Rodentia; Bathyergidae. The record is from RNAcentral.